RNAcentral lists this ribosomal RNA (253 nucleotides) under uncultured bacterium. RNAcentral's name for it is "partial 16S ribosomal RNA". It matches the Rfam family "Bacterial small subunit ribosomal RNA", at positions 524 to 776 of the family's 1533-position model. The record is from RNAcentral.
UACAGAGGGGGCAAGCGUUGUUCGGAAUUACUGGGCGUAAAGGGCGCGUAGGCGGCCUGUUAAGUCGAACGUGAAAUCCCCGGGCUCAACCCGGGAACUGCGUCCGAUACUGGCAGGCUUGAAUCCGGGAGAGGGACGCGGAAUUCCAGGUGUAGCGGUGAAAUGCGUAGAUAUCUGGAGGAACACCGGUGGCGAAGGCGGCAUCCUGGACCGGCAUUGACGCUGAGGCGCGAAAGCGUGGGGAGCGAACAGG